Molecule: long non-coding RNA, 4182 nt
Organism: Eriocheir sinensis (Chinese mitten crab)
Lineage: Eukaryota; Metazoa; Arthropoda; Malacostraca; Decapoda; Varunidae
Exons: 2
Source: RefSeq, a predicted model, not a curated record
CUCCCAUCCCUGUGAGGUUGACGGUGAGAUAAGUGAUACAAUGUUUCAAUACUUGCAUUGGAGAAAAUAGCGUUAUGAGGUGAAAUUGAAUAGAUAAGUUAAAAAAAUAUAUUGACUAGCGUAAAUAGCUACUGCAGUUGUCACCCUCCCCGGCGGCCAUUGCCUGUCAGCUGAUGGCCGGACACAUGCUGGGCGGCAGGUUAAGUGCAAUAAGUCGUCCUGCGAGUGAUAAAUGAAGAUAAUAGCCGCGCCAGAGUGUUGCAGGAAGGGGAGCACCGCGUGUCUGGUAAAGGAGUGGUGUCAUUCACACACAAGGGAGGAGGGAGAGAUACAGAGGGCAGCAAACUCUAGGCCCUUCUGUUAGCCGUCAACGCCCCCCUGAAGUAGUUGUCUCUGCCUUCACUGUUGGUGCUUUAAGGUUAACAGCAUGCUUAUGUCAAGCCUGAGUGGUGUCCAAGGUGUUUGUGAAUGCAGGACACAGGAGGCAGCCAGUCCUUCCCACCUGAGUCAUGAGGAGCAGCUUUCACAUGGUAGAUAUGUAAUUUUUUUUCUUUGUAGCUGGUAUUGGAAUGGUUGUAGAUGGGGAACUUAGACACAGCAGGUAUGUUCAGACAUUUGAGUGAAGGAUUGCAUGCAGGAAAAAUUCUAGAUGCAGAGUUAGUCCUUUUGCCAGAAAUUCCUGAGGUAAAUGGUAUAAAUUCUUGCGCAUAGUUAUUUCUAGACUUCAUAACUUGGAGAAAUGUAAUAUUAUUCAGAAAUUUCUUUAACUAAAUAUCCUAUCUGUUCAUUGUUUUGAAAUAAACACAUGAUGUCACCUUAUCUCAUAGGUUCCAUUCUGUGUACCAGGUGUUCCCUUUCAUGAUUUGUGAAUUGCAUUAUUUAGUGCAUUUCAUUUCCUUGAAAAAAAUCCAUUUUCUAUUUUGCAUUUUAGUUACACUGAAAAUUAUAGGCAAACUAUGUGGUGCAGUGGUUAGCAUGCCUAGCUACAAAUCCAUGGGCCUGGGUUCAAAUCCUGGGCCAGGCAGUCUAAAGGGCCAGGGCCAAUGCAACAGAAAUCAGCAUUGUGGCCACGUGCAGCUCUACUGUAUGCUAUUGCUGAAAUUAUUCUGUACAUUAAACUCCAGGAAUUUCUAGCAAAAGCAGCAACUCAGUUUUGCCUAUCUAUGAUAUUUUCUAAAUGCAAUCCUUUCUUUAAAUGUCUGUAUAUUUAGGUGAGAUUCUCAUAAAAUGAAGUCUGUGGGCAUUGUCAGUUUGUGUCAUUCAUCAUGGAGGUAGUAGAGACUUUCAUAGGAAUUUUGUCAAUAUUAUGCAUAACCUUAAAUUGAUUUAUGGCUUUGUAUUGGUUGUGAUAGGUCAUUCAGUUUAAGCAAAUCCUCCAUUGUAUGUACUCUCACUCAUAUAUUAAUUCUUCCACACUGUAAUGCAUUCACUUAAGCUUGAUCCCUAGCUGAAUAAAUAAGGGUUCUGCUGAUUGGCAGGUGGGGUGUUUGAUGUUUCCGUUGCCCAACACAAUUCUGCAGGUCCAGAAAAUAUUCAUAUUUCUUUACUAAACUCAUCUGUUACAUGAGAUAAAUUUUGUUGACAUCAUUGGAUUAAGUAAUGAUUGCACAGUCAUAUGAGUAUAUUUAAGUUGAUACCAUUUUUUGAAAUAUUUCCUAGUCUCCUCUUAUAUUGAACUCUGAUUAAAGUACCAUUGUAUUCAGGAGAAUUUUGUUCUGUACGAGGACCAAAAUGUUUUAUUAUUUAUAUUUGCAGCAAUCAGGACUUCACUUUUGGAAUAAAACUUUUCUCAUUUAAUACAUUUGUUCUCUAUAUAGAAUUUUUUCUUCUGCUUGCAAAUAUACUUAAAUGAUUUUAGAUAAAAGUUCAUAUAUUGAAGAGACUAGGAAGGCUUGCAAAAAGUGGUAUAAACAUUAAACGGUAUUCUAUGGAAAUUUAAGGCUAUUGAGUUUUGAAUAUAGGGUAGUGUCUUGUGUAAAAGAUAACUAAUAAAUAUUCAUACUUUCUGAACCUAUGCACUAGUAGUGUUGGGCGAUGGAGACAUUGCUGGUUGGCGGGUGGGGCAUCUAGUGUCUUUACUUUGCUAAGAGCUAGGGACCAUAGUUUUUCUGCUUUCAGGGUGGGAGUCUGACCUAAGAUCAAUUCCUUCUUCCAGGGAUAUUUGUAGUGGGUAUGUAAUGAAGGAGAUGUUGAUAUAGGCAGGUUUAUUCUGUAGUUACAAAACUGCCACAGGGCUAUGAAAAAGAAUUAAGUGGAGAGUCUUCCAAGCUCUUAGUGUAUUUUUCAGCUUAACCAGCCAACAGCCAGCCAGCCCAGCUUGUAGAACUAGAAAGUGAUCCCUCCACACCAAGGAAUGGAGGGACAACCAGUAGAAAAUGUCACAAUGGUCACGUAGUCGCUGCCGCUGAACUGGUGCCACUUGCAGUGCCCACCUCAUCAUCUACCUCAGGUCCGCGGGGCCUGAAAUAAAUUUCCUGUGUACUCAUUUUUUCAGUUAUUCGGAACAUUAUCAGAUAAGGAGGAAACACUCAUGCUGGUGUGCGUUACAAGCCAUGAUACACUGGUUCACUAACCUUUAGUUCCUCAAGUUGGAAAUUGUCACCUAAUGUCAUCAGUCUGAGUGUUGCCGAUUGGUUCAGGUGGUGCUUCUCUUCCUGGAUCACAUUGCUUUGCUGAUAACUGCUACAAAUACAAACGGCAUUUCUACCCACACCACAUUACUAGUUGUCUCUUUAGCCUUCUUUUUCAUGGCGAUGGACAGUGCUUCCACGACUUUUCCUGCUCCCGACACUUUUCAGCAGUUUCAGUGUCCCACUUUUGGUAGGUAACUAUCUAUAUGGUCCACUAGAGCACUGGUUAGGCAGUAGUGUCUAGCAUUUGCCUCAUGGUCGUUGAUUGUGGUGUCCAGUCCUUGCUUGCUGAAGACAAAGUAGCUGCAGUCACUGCAUAGUAUUCUAGUGCACAAUAGUUAUUUUUUGUCCUGUUCUUUUUCUUUCACUAGUUUUCUGACAUUGGUACACUGAUGUAACGAGUACACUGUAGUGUUUGUAAUCAGAAAUGGACACUGCAAACACACUGAGACAUUAGUUUAAUUUAUUCUGGAUACUAUUAGUACUGUUAUAUUCAGGAUUAAUUUUUUAGUAAUGGAUUGAAAAUUCUCUCCUUCCUCAUCCACUAUUGUGUCACUAGUCUGGUAAUGUAAUUUUAUGAAGUUUGCCAGAAUAGUGAGUAAAGAUUCAAUGAGUAACUAGACAAAUUUUAGCCCUUUCAUUAUGAAAACAUCUUGAAUAUGUGAAAUCCUAAUUGUAUCCAGAAUGAAAUGAAACUGAUGUCUUACUGUGUCCAGCUCUGGUUAUAAACACUAGGGUGUUCAAUAUAUCACAGUGUAGCAGUAUCUGAAAACUAGUUUAAGAAAAAGAACAGGUCAAAUAGACUAUUAUGUAUAGAUUACUAUGCAACAAUUGACAGCAGGGACUAGACAUCACACUCAUUGAGCAUGAGGCAACUGCAAGACACCUGCCAAACUGGUGCUUGAUUGGACCAUGUAGAUAGUCACUUACCAAAGUGGGAUAGUGAAACUGUCCUGAAAAGUGGCCUGAGCAGGAAAGAAUAGUUGUGGAAGCACCGUCCAUCACCAUGAGUAAGAACACGGACAAGAGAACUGGUAAUGUGGUGCAGGCAGCGAUGUAGUGUUCAUUUCUGUAGCAGCCAUCAACAGAGCACCAGGAGUCAAGGAGAGGAUGAGUGCCUGGACCAAUCAGCAACAUUCAGAGUUGACGAAGGGUGACGACCUUCAACAAGGUGGCUGGGUUUCCCACAUGACCUGGCUGUUAAGUCAUGCCAGCACCAGUUUCCUCAAUUUCCUUGAAGUAAUAAUAGCAAAUUAAUUUGGAAAACUUAACCUCACUGCAUCAGUAUUUCCUAUACCUUCCUUUUCCAUUAUUAUAGUCCAUUCACUUAAGCUAAGUAAAGAAUCUUUAAUAUUUUUUUAACCUAGACUGUUGAUUUUGCAUUGUCAAUACAUUAGUAUUGUUGCAAGAGUGCUCAACUGCUCAUGGUUGUGUUCAUCAGGGUAUUUUAAGUAACCAUCUGAUAAUCUAAAACAACAUUACAGUUGUUUUGGGUUAUUGUAAUUGACCUCUCCUGUUUUCUGUACCCAUGGAAAUAAAUGCUCAAAAUCUA